Molecule: ribosomal RNA, 612 nt
Filed under: Shigella sp.
Lineage: Bacteria; Pseudomonadati; Pseudomonadota; Gammaproteobacteria; Enterobacterales; Enterobacteriaceae
Description: bacterial SSU rRNA
Rfam family: Bacterial small subunit ribosomal RNA
Source: RNAcentral
AGCUUGCUGCUUCGCUGACGAGUGGCGGACGGGUGAGUAAUGUCUGGGAAACUGCCUGAUGGAGGGGGAUAACUACUGGAAACGGUAGCUAAUACCGCAUAACGUCGCAAGACCAAAGAGGGGGACCUUCGGGCCUCUUGCCAUCGGAUGUGCCCAGAUGGGAUUAGCUAGUAGGUGGGGUAACGGCUCACCUAGGCGACGAUCCCUAGCUGGUCUGAGAGGAUGACCAGCCACACUGGAACUGAGACACGGUCCAGACUCCUACGGGAGGCAGCAGUGGGGAAUAUUGCACAAUGGGCGCAAGCCUGAUGCAGCCAUGCCGCGUGUAUGAAGAAGGCCUUCGGGUUGUAAAGUACUUUCAGCGGGGAGGAAGGGAGUAAAGUUAAUACCUUUGCUCAUUGACGUUACCCGCAGAAGAAGCACCGGCUAACUCCGUGCCAGCAGCCGCGGUAAUACGGAGGGUGCAAGCGUUAAUCGGAAUUACUGGGCGUAAAGCGCACGCAGGCGGUUUGUUAAGUCAGAUGUGAAAUCCCCGGGCUCAACCUGGGAACUGCAUCUGAUACUGGCAAGCUUGAGUCUCGUAGAGGGGGGUAGAAUUCCAUGGAUAGCGGU